RNAcentral lists this ribosomal RNA (466 nucleotides) under uncultured bacterium. RNAcentral describes it as "partial 16S ribosomal RNA". It matches the Rfam family "Bacterial small subunit ribosomal RNA", at positions 29 to 506 of the family's 1533-position model. The record is from RNAcentral.
ACGCACGCUGGCGGCGUGCUUAACACAUGCAAGUCGAACGGAAAGGCCCUGCUUUUGUGGGGUGCUCGAGUGGCGAACGGGUGAGUAACACGUGAGUAACCUGCCCUUGACUUUGGGAUAACUUCAGGAAACUGGGGCUAAUACCGGAUAGGAGCUCCUGCUGCAUGGUGGGGGUUGGAAAGUUUCGGCGGUUGGGGAUGGACUCGCGGCUUAUCAGCUUGUUGGUGGGGUAGUGGCUUACCAAGGCUUUGACGGGUAGCCGGCCUGAGAGGGUGACCGGCCACAUUGGGACUGAGAUACGGCCCAGACUCCUACGGGAGGCAGCAGUGGGGAAUAUUGCACAAUGGGCGGAAGCCUGAUGCAGCAACGCCGCGUGCGGGAUGACGGCCUUCGGGUUGUAAACCGCUUUCGCCUGUGACGAAGCGUGAGUGACGGUAAUGGGUAAAGAAGCACCGGCGAACUACGU